GUGUGUGCGUGUGACGAAAAAUGAUGGAUGAAAAACUCUGGUCUGAAGUCUUUCGUUGGUCACACACACUACCAGCAUUGCAUCUACCAGCGGAUUGCGCUAUACCGAGUCUACCCAUCUCUCUCGAUCUACCAUGUUUUUUUCUGCUAUCGCACUUAUCCGGGAGUUAGGCAUCCUCAGUCUGUCCAGAACUUUCGUUGUGGAAGGAUGUGCGGGAGUGAUAUGCGAUUUCUUGUGUCCCCUACUUUCCUUGUUUACGUUUUGCGCAGUGUUGUUUCUUCUUCCAUUGUGGAAUGAUUUAUCCUAGCUAACUUGUUGAGGUGCAUGCGCCAUUCAUCAACGCCUACGUGUUGGCAUCAUCAACAAUCUUCAAAGUGGGUGACGGAAAGAAAUUGUUUUCCAGUUUUAAAAUAUUAAGCGUUCAGCACAACUCAGCCACAAAACAACGCACUGGAUUACGCUAAGAACCUGUCGAAACGCGCGCAGCCCCCGGGUGCAGUAGGAGAAAGGAAGAACGAGAGGAGAAAACUAAAGCCAGCGCGCAGCUCUGAUGGUACCCCGUACGCGGUAAGAAGAAAAAAGAUCGAGAGGAGGAAGAACGGUAAAUUUGGAAGGGGGAGACCGUUCUGCCGUCUCCACAGUGUGAGUACCCAACCGGCAUUAUCGCGCGAUUUUUAUGUGUAUCUAUCAUUUUUCUUAUUCUAACAUUCAGAAAAAUUUUCAUUCUGUCUUGCUCUUCUGGGUGUUGGUCACUUUUUGCUCGCAACUUGGCUGUGUCACAUCAACCAUCCUCAUGUUUCAUAUGGCUCUUCUCUUUCCAUCGUUCGAGAGAAACUCUUGUGUCUCGCUUUUCUGGGACUUGUCCAAUUUCGCUAGCUACAUCAAUCGUUCACGCAAGCGUUCUCCUCUCGCCCGCUAUUUGUAUCAUUGUACAGGUACUCCCCGAUAUACGCUAUCAAUGCGGACCGGAGACAAUAACGUAUCUCGAAUAUUAGCGAAAGUCGAAUUUCGAGGUUUUAUUAUAGCUAAUUUUCGUAUAAUUUUGCAUGAAUUGGUAGGUUUUAGCCACUAAAUUAGUUAUUUGAUCUGAUAUCAACUGAAAAUUACAAUGUUAUACCUUUUGAAAUGGUUUUUAGUAUUAAAAAAAAGGGAAUUUAUUUUGCAUUCGACAUUCGAUUUCCCAAAUUAGUACAAUUUGCUCAAAGAACUAUCAAAUAUAGAAAAAAGCGUAUAGCGAAAUCGCGUGUUUCGAGUAUGGCGUAUACCGAGGAAUACCUGUAUAUUCUCACGAGGAAGGCGCUGGUUCGCGUUCUCAUGAAAAAGUGGUAGUGUGAAAUCAAGUUUGCAAGCAGAAGGACGAGUCGAUGCGUGCUCGUUUUUUCUCUCGUGAAACCACUACGGAAAAACUAUUUGGCAAGUACAGCUUUUAAUAAAGGGUUACAUCAAUCUUUAUCAAACUAAAUGGUAUUAAUAAUCGUGGUAUCAAAUCAUAUUCAUUUUCUAUAGAAAUCGUAACACACGCACGAACGGAAGUGAGCACGGACCACAAUAGAAACAAUAUUCAAUUGGUUGCAGUGCCGAAAACAACAGAACAGGAGAGGAAAGAAGGCAGGCACGAUCCUCCAACGUGCUACCGCCUGGGAGAGGAGAAGCAGCAGGAAAGUAGGGACGAUCAUCCAGCGCGCUAGCGCAGCAUGUGGGAGCAGCGAGAGGGAGGCAAGCAGGAAGAAUUUUUAACGUGUGGACACCAUUCGACGAAGACAACUCUGGAUGAAAGGAAGAACGCGGAGAGAAGGCAGGCAAGACGGGUACGUGUGUAUCCCGCACCGGUUUUCGGCAGUGUGAAUUGUGUGAGUAUGUACAUUUGUAUGUGUGAGUAAAAAGGUAAAAUAAAGAGCGUAAGCA
Long non-coding RNA from Anopheles arabiensis, 1905 nucleotides. RefSeq lists it as uncharacterized. The transcript is spliced from 4 exons. The record is from RefSeq and is a predicted model, not a curated record. NCBI's taxonomy places the organism in Eukaryota, Metazoa, Arthropoda, Insecta, Diptera, Culicidae.